This 209-nucleotide long non-coding RNA is filed under the name Olea europaea (common olive). RNAcentral describes it as "long non-coding RNA (OEUR_LNC012526)". The record is from RNAcentral. Lineage: Eukaryota; Viridiplantae; Streptophyta; Magnoliopsida; Lamiales; Oleaceae.
GGAAGAAGCAUGUGUGCUGGAAUGUGAAGAAGGCCAAACUUCUGGAAGGGCCUACAAUGGUGAAGAUGAUGAUGGUAUGACGAAUAUCGAAGAUGAAAUUGAUCUGGAAGCAGAAAGAAGAAAGAGAGGAGUAUCGCACAAUACUCUGUUGAAACAACUACAUCGAGAGGGAGUUCGUGAAGUGGAUUUGUUGGGGGAACCAUCUGGGC